RNAcentral lists this ribosomal RNA (413 nucleotides) under Robbsia andropogonis. Its description in RNAcentral is "partial 16S ribosomal RNA". Lineage: Bacteria; Pseudomonadati; Pseudomonadota; Betaproteobacteria; Burkholderiales; Burkholderiaceae. The record is from RNAcentral.
UCCCGUAAUUUCUUUGAGUUUUAAUCUUGCGACCGUACUCCCCAGGCGGUCAACUUCACGCGUUAGCUACGUUACUAAGGAAAUGAAUCCCCAACAACUAGUUGACAUCGUUUAGGGCGGGGACUACCAGGGUAUCUAAUCCUGUUUGCUCCCCACGCUUUCGUGCAUGAGCGUCAGUGUUGGCCCAGGGGGCUGCCUUCGCCAUUGGUGUUCCUCCGCAUAUCUACGCAUUUCACUGCUACACGCGAAAUUCCACCCCCCUCUGCCAGACUCUAGCUUGCCAGUCACAAAUGCAGUUCCCAGGUUGAGCCCGGGGAUUUCACAUCUGUCUUAACAAACCGCCUGCGCACGCUCUACGCCCAGUAAUUCCGAUUAACGCUUGCACCCUACGUAUUACCGCGGCUGCUGGCACA